AAUAUAGUUUGAGAACCCAAAUUGCAAUUUUUUUAUAUUUCUGAUUCGAGUCUCGGAGGCCCCUAAAAUUUGGGGGCCCGGGGCAUAUGCCCUUAAUGCCCCCCGUCAAAUCCGGUCCUGCAUGGUAUAAUAGAAAAACAAAAACGUGUGCAUGGCCUAAAGCGAAGAAUUGUGCAAAAAGAUUAAUUGAAAAAAAAAGCAUAUCCAAAUAAGUUGGAGUAUAAUUGGUUACCAGCGAGAAUAUUAGGACGAAAAUAUGGAAGCCUAGAAGAAGCCCGUAAUAAAGCAAAUAAGGCUCUUAUUUUUUCAGAUUUAUCUGCAAACGACGAUCAUAUUAUUAAAAAAGUCACCAAAAAAACAUUUGAAAUGAAACAAUUUGAAAGUCCUCCAACUUUAAAAUCUA
Molecule: long non-coding RNA, 403 nt
Organism: Sipha flava (yellow sugarcane aphid)
Lineage: Eukaryota; Metazoa; Arthropoda; Insecta; Hemiptera; Aphididae
Exons: 2
Source: RefSeq, a predicted model, not a curated record